RNAcentral lists this long non-coding RNA (321 nucleotides) under Mytilus galloprovincialis (Mediterranean mussel). Lineage: Eukaryota; Metazoa; Mollusca; Bivalvia; Mytilida; Mytilidae. The record is from RNAcentral.
CCCACCCCGUUCAAUUUGAGAAUGUGCUAUUAUUUUGUAAACGGUCAACAUCCCCACCCCUAAACCAUAUAUAUUCUCGUAGGGGACAAUAAAACAAAUCAAAUAGAAUGUAGGUCAAAGUCCUUGGGGUCACCCCCAACCCCUCCUGUUUGAAAACUUGUAAAUGGUGGAGAUCCCUACUCAUGCUACUCAUAAGCCAAAUAAAUCCUUGUAUGGGACAUUCAAUCAAAUCAAUUGAACAUGGGACCAUAUGAAUGGGGAGUUAUGGGAGCUUUGUUUGGGAGACUUCGUAACAGCAUCCUGUUACAAUUACUUCUUGUU